This 253-nucleotide ribosomal RNA is filed under the name uncultured bacterium. RNAcentral describes it as "partial 16S ribosomal RNA". It matches the Rfam family "Bacterial small subunit ribosomal RNA", at positions 524 to 776 of the family's 1533-position model. The record is from RNAcentral.
UACGUAGGGUGCAAGCGUUGUCCGGAAUUAUUGGGCGUAAAGAGCUCGUAGGCGGUUUGUCACGUCGGCUGUGAAAACCUGGGGCUCAACCCCGGGCCUGCAGCCGAUACGGGCAAACUAGAAUUCGGUAGGGGAGACUGGAAUUCCUGGUGUAGCGGUGAAAUGCGCAGAUAUCAGGAGGAACACCGGUGGCGAAGGCGGGUCUCUGGGCCGAUAUUGACGCUGAGGAGCGAAAGCGUGGGGAGCGAACAGG